UACGGGGGGGGCAAGCGUUGUUCGGAAUUACUGGGCGUAAAGGGCUCGUAGGCGGCCAACUAAGUCCGACGUGAAAUCCCCAGGCUUAACCUGGGAACUGCGUCGGAUACUGGAUGGCUUGAAUCCGGGAGAGGGAUGCGGAAUUCCAGGUGUAGCGGUGAAAUGCGUAGAUAUCUGGAGGAACACCGGUGGCGAAGGCGGCAUCCUGGACCGGCAUUGACGCUGAGGAGCGAAAGCGUGGGGAGCGAACAGG
RNAcentral lists this ribosomal RNA (253 nucleotides) under uncultured bacterium. RNAcentral's name for it is "partial 16S ribosomal RNA". It matches the Rfam family "Bacterial small subunit ribosomal RNA", at positions 524 to 776 of the family's 1533-position model. The record is from RNAcentral.